UCUACCUGGACCCCCAAACUCAGGGACAUCAUAGCAGGUAACACUGUCUACCUGUACCCCCAAACUCAGGGACAUCAUAGCAGGUAACACUGUCAACCUGGACCCCCAAACUCAGGGACAUCAUAGCAGGUAACACUGUCUACCUGGACCCCCAAACUCAGGGACAUCACAGCAGGUAACACUGUCUACCUGGACCCCCAAACUCAGGGACAUCACAGCAGGAAACACUGUCUACCUGGACCCCCAAACUCAGGGAGAUCAUGGCAGGUAACACUGUCAACCUGGACCCCCAAACUCAGGGACAUCACAGCAGGUAACACUGUCUACCUGGACCCCCAAAUUCAGGGACAUCACAGCAGGUAACACUGUCUACCUGGACCCCCAAACUCAGGGAGAUCAUAGCAGGUAACACUGUCUACCUGGACCCCCAAACUCAGGGACAUCAUAGCAGGUAACACUGUCUACCUGGACCCCCAAACUCAGGGAGAUCAUAGCAGGUAACACUGUCUACCUGGACCCCCAAACUCAGGGAGAUCAUGGCAGGUAACACUGUCUACCUGGACCCCCAAACUCAGGGAGAUCAUAGCAGGUUAUACGGUCUACCUGGACCCCCAAACUCAGGGAGAUCAUGGCAGGUAACACUGUCUACCUGGACCCCCAAACUCAGGGAGAUCAUGGCAGGUAACACUGUCAACCUGGACCCCCAAACUCAGGGUGACCAUAGCAGGUAACACUGUCUACCUGGACCCCCAAACUCAGGGAGACCAUAGCAGGUAACACUGUCUACCUGGACCCCCAAACUCAGGGAGAUCAUAGCAGGUAACACUGUCUACCUGGACCCCCAAACUCAGGGACAUCAUAGCAGGUAACACUGUCUACCUG
Long non-coding RNA from Perca fluviatilis (European perch), 882 nucleotides. RefSeq lists it as uncharacterized. The transcript has 3 exons. NCBI's taxonomy places the organism in Eukaryota, Metazoa, Chordata, Actinopteri, Perciformes, Percidae. The record is from RefSeq and is a predicted model, not a curated record.